This 253-nucleotide ribosomal RNA is filed under the name uncultured bacterium. RNAcentral describes it as "partial 16S ribosomal RNA". It matches the Rfam family "Bacterial small subunit ribosomal RNA", at positions 524 to 776 of the family's 1533-position model. The record is from RNAcentral.
UACGUAGGGGGCUAGCGUUGUCCGGAUUUAUUGGGCGUAAAGAGCGUGUAGGCGGCCAGGUAGGUCUGCUGUGAAAACUCGAGGCUCAACCUCGAGAUGUCGGCGGAAACCAUCUGGCUAGAGUCCGGAAGAGGGGAGUGGAAUUCCUGGUGUAGCGGUGAAAUUCGUAGAUAUUCGCAAGAACACCAGUGGCGAAGGCGGCUCACUGGCCCGGUACUGACGCUGAGGUGCGAAAGCGUGGGGAGCAAACAGG